RNAcentral lists this unclassified non-coding RNA (285 nucleotides) under plant metagenome. Its description in RNAcentral is "partial contains small subunit ribosomal RNA, internal transcribed spacer 1, and 5.8S ribosomal RNA". The stretch from base 1 to 54 matches the Rfam family "Eukaryotic small subunit ribosomal RNA", at positions 1778 to 1831 of the family's 1831-position model. The record is from RNAcentral.
GGAAGUAAAAGCCGUAACAAGGUUUCCGUAGGUGAACCUGCGGAAGGAUCAUUAUUGUAUAACCGAGGUGCGAGGGCUGUCGCUGACCCGAAAGGUCGUGCACGCCCGAGUGCCCUCACACGCAUCCAUCUCACCCCUAUGUGCACCACCGCGUGGGUCCCCCUUUGGCUUGUUCGGAGGGGGGCUUACGUUUUCACACAAACUUUGUAUGCAGUGUAGAAUGUAUUUUUUGUUUUCGCGAUCACGCAAUCAAUACAACUUUCAACAACGGAUCUCUUGGCUCUC